AGAUUAAGUUAUUAAGGGCGCACGGUGGAUGCCUUGGCACUAGAAGCCGAUGAAGGACGUUACUAACGACGAUAUGCUUUGGGGAGCUGUAAGUAAGCUUUGAUCCAGAGAUUUCCGAAUGGGGAAACCCAGCAUGAGUUAUGUCAUGUUAUCGAUAUGUGAAUACAUAGCAUAUCUGAAGGUAGACGCGGAGAACUGAAACAUCUUAGUACCCGCAGGAAGAGAAAGAAAAAUCGAUUCCCUGAGUAGCGGCGAGCGAAACGGGAAGAGCCCAAACCAACGAGCUUGCUUGUUGGGGUUGUAGGACACUCUAUACGGAGUUACAAAAGAAUAAACUAGACGAAUCAUCUGGAAAGAUGAAUCAAAGAAGGUAAUAAUCCUGUAGUCGAAAGUUUGUUCACUCUUGAGUGGAUCCUGAGUACGACGGAACACGAGAAAUUCCGUCGGAAUCCGGGAGGACCAUCUCCCAAGGCUAAAUACUCUCUAGUGACCGAUAGUGAACCAGUACCGUGAGGGAAAGGUGAAAAGUACCCCGGAAGGGGAGUGAAAUAGAACUUGAAACCGUGUGCUUACAAGUAGUCAGAGCCCGUUAAUGGGUGAUGGCGUGCCUUUUGUAGAAUGAACCGGCGAGUUACGAUUUGAUGCAAGGUUAAGCAGUGAAUGUGGAGCCGUAGCGAAAGCGAGUCUGAAUAGGGCGUUGAGUAUUUGGUCGUAGACCCGAAACCAGGUGAUCUACCCAUGACCAGGUUGAAGUUCAGGUAACACUGAAUGGAGGACCGAACCGACUUACGUUGAAAAGUGAGCGGAUGAGUUGUGGGUAGCGGAGAAAUUCCAAUCGAACCUGGAGAUAGCUGGUUCUCUCCGAAAUAGCUUUAGGGCUAGCCUCAAGUGAUGAUUAUUGGAGGUAGAGCACUGUUUGGACGAGGGGCCCUUAUCGGGUUACCGAAUUCAGACAAACUCCGAAUGCCAAUCAAUUUAACUUGGGAGUUAGAACGCGGGUGAUAAGGUCCGUGUUCGAAAGGGAAACAGCCCAGACCACCAGCUAAGGUCCCAAAAUAUAUGUUAAGUGGAAAAGGAUGUGGCGUUGCCCAGACAACUAGGAUGUUGGCUUAGAAGCAGCCAUCAUUUAAAGAGUGCGUAAUAGCUCACUAGUCGAGUGACACUGCGCCGAAAAUGUACCGGGGCUAAACAUAUUACCGAAGCUGUGGAUUGUCCGUAAGGACAAUGGUAGGAGAGCGUUCUAAGGGCGUUGAAGCAUGAUCGCAAGGACAUGUGGAGCGCUUAGAAGUGAGAAUGCCGGUGUGAGUAGCGAAAGACGGGUGAGAAUCCCGUCCACCGAUUGACUAAGGUUUCCAGAGGAAGGCUCGUCCGCUCUGGGUUAGUCGGGUCCUAAGCUGAGGCCGAUAGGCGUAGGCGAUGGAUAACAGGUUGAUAUUCCUGUACCACCAUUAUUCGUUUUAAGCGAUGGGGGGACGCAGUAGGAUAGGCGAAGCGUACUAUUGGAUUGUACGUCCAAGCAGUAAGACUGAGUGUUAGGCAAAUCCGGCACUCUUAAGGUCAAGCUGUGAUGGG
Molecule: ribosomal RNA, 1572 nt
Filed under: Staphylococcus pseudoxylosus
Lineage: Bacteria; Bacillati; Bacillota; Bacilli; Caryophanales; Staphylococcaceae
Description: bacterial LSU rRNA
Rfam family: Bacterial large subunit ribosomal RNA
Source: RNAcentral